This 432-nucleotide ribosomal RNA is filed under the name Triticum aestivum (bread wheat). RNAcentral's name for it is "partial small subunit ribosomal RNA". Lineage: Eukaryota; Viridiplantae; Streptophyta; Magnoliopsida; Poales; Poaceae. The record is from RNAcentral.
AUGCCCACCGGCGCCGCCACACGAAGAGGAGAGGCUCCCACAGCAAUGGCCGCUCCUUGCGAGUGGAGCAGGAGCUCCCUUGACUGCAGGAACCACAAAACAGGUUGUGUCAGUGAUGAGGAGGACUCAAGCAACAAGAUUUAUGGUGGACGUGUUGCUACUGCAGUGCAGACUAUUGCAUACCAAAGCAGAAUGACUCAAUCAAUUAGGCAGGCAACGAGUCAAUCAAAAUCAGCUCUCCUGUCGACGAGGAUCAUCUGGAUGGAAGAAUCGUCAGGGCAGACAGACUUGAGCGACUCCACUAAGGGUAUCCGGUUCUCCUCAUGCACGUCGGUGCACAUCGACCACACAAGGGGCCCAUCCCUUGGAUCAAGUAGAACCCAUCCGGUAUCACGUUGUUGUAUGAUAACGAGUCGUUUACCUGGGAAGUGA